CGGGCAUAGCUCACCGAAAGGUGAGGUAAUUCCCGAUAGUCUCAGUACUUCACUAUCGUUCAGCACUUUCGACAGAAAGUGGAGGGUGGAAAGUGGAAAGUAGUAAAAUGAACACUACUCUCUACCUUCGACUUUCUACACUCGCGAAGUGCUGAGCGGUAGCGAGGUACUGAGUAAAGAUUUUUCGCUUUGGGAGCGGCCUGCGGAGUAUCAGCUUGUUGGUAAGGUAACGGCUUACCAAGGCUAUGACGCUUAGGGGAGGUGAGAGCCUGACCCCCACCGAUGGAACUGAGAACGGUCCAUACACCUACGGGUGGCCGCAGUCGAGAAUCUUCCGCAAUGGGCGAAAGCCUGACGGAGCGACGCCGCGUGAUGGAUGAAGUCUUUCGGGACGUAAACAUCUUUUAUGACUGAAGAAGUCCGCAUCACACUGCGUGUGAUACUGAAAUUUCAAAUUUCAAAAUACAAAUCCCAAAUAAAUUCCAAAUUCAAAUUUUCAAAAUCUCAAACGUGUUUUUGUUGUUUGAAUUUUGGUUAUUGUAAUUUAUUUGUGAUUUGAUGCUUGUGAUUUGUGAUUUUCGCUAUCGCGCAUAGCGUGAUGCGGAUUGACAUUAGGUCAGGAAUAAGGGGCUGCUAAUCACGUGCCAGCAGCAGCGGUAAUACGUGAGCCCCAAGCGUUAUCCGGAAUUACUGGGCGUAAAGGGUGUGUAGGCGGUUUCAUUAGUCUUUCGUUAAAGACUCCGGCUUAACCGGAGGAGUGCGAAGGAAACGGUGAGACUUGAGGGUGCGAGAGGUCUAUGGAACUCAUGGUGUAGGGGUGAAAUCCGUUGAUAUCAUGGGGAACACCAAAAGCGAAGGCAAUAGACUGGCGCAUUCCUGACGCUGAGACACGAAAGCGUGGGUAGCGAAAGGGAUUAGAUACCCCUGUAGUCCACGCCCUAAACGAUGUUCUCUAGCUUUUUGGAGUAUCGACCCUCUGGGAGGCAAAGCUAACGCGUUAAGAGAACCGCCUGGGAAGUACGAGCGCAAGCUUAAAACUCAAAGGAAUAGACGGGGACUUGCACAAGCGGUGGAUCAGGUGGCUUAAUUCGACAAUAAACGAAGAACCUUACCAGGACUUGAAACCCUAAUGACGUAUUUGGGAGACCAGAUAUUUCUCACAAGGACAUUAGGGCAGGUGAUGCAUGGCCGUCGUCAGUUCGUGGCUUGAGCUGUUCCCUUCAGUGGGGAAACGAACGCAACCCCUAUCGUCUGUUAUACGUGUCAGGCGAGACCGCCGCGUAAGUUGGAGGAAGGUGGGGAUGACGCCAGGUCAGCAUGUCCCUUUGAUGUCCUGGGCUGCACACCUGAUACAAUGGUCGCUACAGAAGGUUGCGACGGGGUAACCCUGAGCCAAUCCUUUAAAAGCGGCCUCAGUUCGGAUUGAGGGCUGCAACUCGACCUCAUGAAGUCGGAAUCGCUAGUAAUCGCGGGUCAGAUAUACCGCGGUGAAUACGUUCCCAAGUCUUGUACUCACCGCCCGUCAUAUCAAGGGAGCCGGGAGUACCCGAAGUCCCACUCUGGAGGCUGGAAGCUGGAUAACUGGAUACUGGAAAGAUUUUUGCGAAGCAAAA
RNAcentral lists this ribosomal RNA (1613 nucleotides) under bacterium. RNAcentral describes it as "bacterial SSU rRNA". It matches the Rfam family "Bacterial small subunit ribosomal RNA", at positions 138 to 1496 of the family's 1533-position model. The record is from RNAcentral. RNAcentral also lists the same sequence under 1 other name.